ACAACAGCCUUGAGCGGGAAGAGUACAUGACUUGGCCUUUAGUCCAGCGAACCGGUGACCGGGUUUAUCCGGAGGUGUGAUGACCGGUCUAAAGAGGUUAUGGAAUGGCCCCGUGAGCUGCCCACCGAAAACUUUUGCCAGUAGGCUGGGCCGUGCGCCAGCGUUAUCCGGCUAGGGUAUCGGAUCCUUUAUCCCGUACCUGAAUUGAGGGAAACUUGUGUUUUCUAAAAAAGGGUGGUAUCGCGAACUGUUUCGCCCCUUAA
This 263-nucleotide non-coding RNA is filed under the name Propionispora sp. Its description in RNAcentral is "T-box sequence". It matches the Rfam family "T-box leader". Rfam says of the family: Uncharged tRNA acts as the effector for transcription antitermination of genes in the T-box leader family. T-boxes are found upstream of many aminoacyl-tRNA synthetase genes and some amino acid biosynthetic genes usually in Gram-positive bacteria. The record is from RNAcentral. Lineage: Bacteria; Bacillati; Bacillota; Negativicutes; Selenomonadales; Sporomusaceae.